ACACCUCACAGGGACAGAGACAUCUCACAGGGACAGAGACACAUUACAGGGACAGAGGGUAGGAGUUAAAACAGGAAUCUGAAGUAUAGCAGGUCAGCCUUUAAUGGAGUCCUUAUUCUACCCAUUAGAUGACCAUGAGAAUGAAAAUAGCCUUUUUUCCAAAUGAGUUUGAAAAUUUGCAUUUAGAUAAGUUUCCUUGAUUUCUUUAUUCCGUCCCUUCACCCGCUCCUUCCUGCAUGCUGUUGCCUUCUCUAAUUCCCCCCUCCUCUGUAGUCGACCCGGGUCUCCUCUUCUUUUAUUCUGUUUGCCACUAAUAAUCCACCAUCAUUGCCUUUUCUUCUCAAACACAGACGCUUACCUCCCUAAACAUCAGUGUGAUAAAGCCACAGCAGGGCUUUUAUGUGAUGUGCUUUCCAAGGCUACAGACUCAUGUGUUUUUUUGUUAUUUACACUUUGGAAAAUAAAAUUCUUUCGUUCACAACUAAACAAAUGAACAACUCAUCUGAACGACACGGAGAACAAAGGCUCUUCCCUGGUACUGAGGUUCAAAACCACCAUGUAAACAUGUAGAAAUCCCAGUUCCUACAGACAGACUACAGGCUGCAUGAAGCUGCAUCGCUCUCUGUCCCCGCCAAACAGGAUUGCUCUUCUCUGCCAGGCCAGGUUUGCUGUUUCUGUGAACCUGCCAUCCUAAGUACUCAGUAAAUAUAACAUCCUGUUUAUUGAGCUGUAAACAUCAUUUUCUGAGGCUGGGCUGGAAUCACAUCAGAGUCUUUAUUUUUCUUUUCUCAGAGUCACAGAGCUAAAGGGCUGGGAGCGCUUGUGUGACAGCUGUGGCCUUAAUUAUUUAUUUAGUGGCAGAAGCAACCUUUAACCUUUGUAAUCAGUUCUUAUAAAUAACCAUGAAAACAUUUGUUUUAGGGCCGUUUGUCACAGAGCCCGGUGGUAAAAUCAGCCUGUAACUGGUGCCACAGCAACCAGCUCCAGUCAAAUCAGAUUUUCCAGUUUCGUUUUAACUCAUAACAACUACAGCUGCACAAAAUACCACAAAGUGUAGAUAUGAGUGCGAGAACUGCUCAGACUGCAAUACAUGAUGACCUUCUGUACGAGGCUGACCUUUGCUAAUCAGGAAUGAAUCUCUGAUAUCAGUUGUUGGGUCAAUGGGGUGUCUUCAGUCAGAAAUUAAACAACCUCUUGCUUCUGCUUCAAGUGUAAAGAGUAUCAUGCAUUGUUAAACAUGGCUCGGCACAUAAAGGAAACCCUUUAACAACACAAUGCAACUCUAAGUCAGAUCAAAUUGAUUGAUGAUCAGUUUCACAUGAUGUUGUACAAGUAGCAUGGACAACAGGUGUCUAAAUUACAGACAGUUAGGAAGACAUCCCCAAUAAAGAAGUGGCACACGUGUGUUAUGGUCACUUCUGAAUGCAGCUGGUGCUUUCACUCUAGUGGUAGCAUGAGACGGAGUCUCCAACCCACACAAGUGGCUCAGAAGAAGGUUUGCUGGGUCUGCCAGCAGUGUCCACAGCACGAAAGCUUAAGACACUGAGAAAGAGAAGCUGGGUCAUAACAAGGGAGAUGAGGUCCUGGCAGGCACAGAAGAAGCUGCUCUCUUACCGCACCAGUGUUCUUUCUCCGUCUCCAUCAGGGAGGAAAAGCCCCGCCCCCUCUGUGACGCUGACAGGAGAGGGACUAAAAGGAGCGAGCAGUGAGUCGUGGUGGAUGGCUGCUUAUACUGAGCCAGGAUCCUCUGGAGGUUUCUUCCUGUUAAAAGGGAGUUUUCCUCUCCACUGUCACUGCAUGCUUGCUUAGUAUGAGGAUUGCUGUAAAGACUCUGACACUAGUCAGUGACUCGAUGCAACCUGCUGGGUUCCUUAUAAAGGAAACUUUUUACUGAUUGGCUUAAUGACCUGACCUGUAUUGGAAUGUUUACUGUGUGAAGAGCCUUGAGAUGACUCUUGUGUGUUUUGGUGCGAUAUAAAUAAACUUGAAUUGAACGGAAUUCAAUUGAUAAAUUUGAUUUCCUUUGAUUACUUCUGUGAUUUUGUUGUCAGCACAUUUAACUAUGAACUUUUCAUUCACUCAGGCCUAGGACAUCUUAUUUUUGGGCAGUUGUUAUGUUAGAAGUAAUGAUUUCUAGUGUUCGGGACAAAUAAACCAGGUUUAGUUGAACCAGUUGAUAUUAUUUAGUUUAGUAAAUUCAACAUUUCAUUCUUACAGUGUAGCGGUGUUUGUGGUUGUAACUGUCUGUGUUAGGGACAGGAAUAUCUGAGAACCAGAGGCUGAGACGUGGGUUUACUGUAGGGGAUGUCAUCAUUACAAUACUGAAGAAUAUUAUAGUAUUCACACGUUUUAAUGGAUUAAAUGUUCAAGAGGCAGCUUUAAUGUUUCCAUUCUGAAGCAGUUUCAGAACAGAAUAGCUUCUAUAAAACAUUAAAGCCCCUUUACUGUCUGUCCUUUCCACAGCGGUAAUCCUCGUAAACACGUCAGUGCUAUUCCCUCGCUUGUUUUGGUUCUUGUCACUUCAGAAAUUAACUCAAACAACUAUGUUGUUUCCCAUCAGAAAUUCUCACAAAUGAGAACUAAUUCUGAGAAACAAUCCAACUACAUGUGUGGAGAGAAGACAGGUGAGGGGGUGUCUGCAAUGGCCUCUGAGACUCAGCAGGAGUGCAUCAUUACAGAAACGUUCUCUAGAGAUCGGAUCAGCCAGGAUGCACCUAAACAGUCUCACAGGCUAUCGUCAUCACCAACAUACAAAACAACACACCACCAUAUUCCAUCUGAGCAGUGGGUGAAAGGCUAUGAGAAACCCUGAGCUCAUCACAACAAACAUAUACAGUCACAGGCCACUUUAUUGGGUACACCUCUCUAACUGCUCGUUAACGCAAAUUACUAAUCAGCCAAUCACAUGGCGGCAGCUCAAUGCAUUUAGGCAUGUUGAAUUCAGCCAUAUUGGAGGGUUUUUCAGCAGAAGGGGCUGUUUAAGGUCAAAGGUCAUGGAGCGGCUCCAGACCAUCGCAUGUCUGACUGUUAUUACCCAGGUUACUGUUGUAUAUUACAUGUGUUUGCUGAUCUGAAACAUUUAAAUGUGACAAAAGACUAAAAUCUGAAGAAAUCAAACUUUUCAGAAACAUUCUUCCUGCAGACAUGAAACCAUUGUGAGGUCUUCACGCGGAUGUGUGCUGACGUACCUGUGUGAGCUCCAGACAGAGAGCUAAGAACACGAGAAUGUUGGGUUGCUCCAUCGUAAACCUCCACAAUGUCAUUCAGGGCUGUUUGGAAGAAGGCGAACUGACUGAAGACCACUAGAAAAAAUAUCAGACAUCAGGCAGGAACUGCACAUGGCAAAAGCCACAAAGGCAUCACUUCAUUUAAAAUGACUCCGAACGUUCCUAAAAGGCGCUCUCUGGGAUCCACAACCACAAGAAAAUGAUCAGGAUCAAUCCAAUCACCAUGUCCUCCUUAAAGCUGGGUGGAUGAUGUUCUGACAACACAACUAAAGCGUAAAAGAAUCCUUGUAGCUGUGACGGCCAGUCUGGUACAACCAUACUGCGCUGCCUC
Molecule: long non-coding RNA, 3558 nt
Organism: Nothobranchius furzeri (turquoise killifish)
Lineage: Eukaryota; Metazoa; Chordata; Actinopteri; Cyprinodontiformes; Nothobranchiidae
Source: RefSeq, a predicted model, not a curated record